RNAcentral lists this ribosomal RNA (530 nucleotides) under uncultured bacterium. RNAcentral's name for it is "partial 16S ribosomal RNA". It matches the Rfam family "Bacterial small subunit ribosomal RNA", at positions 28 to 523 of the family's 1533-position model. The record is from RNAcentral.
GAUGAACGCUGGCGGUGUGCCUAAUACAUGCAAGUCGAGCGAACUCUGGUAAUGAUUGGUGCUUGCAUCAUGAAUUACAUUUGAGUGAGUGGCGAACUGGUGAGUAACACGUGGGAAACCUGCCCAGAAGCGGGGGAUAACACCUGGAAACAGAUGCUAAUACCGCAUAACAACUUGGACCGCAUGGUCCGAGUUUGAAAGAUGGCUUCGGCUAUCACUUUUGGAUGGUCCCGCGGCGUAUUAGCUAGAUGGUGAGGUAACGGCUCACCAUGGCAAUGAUACGUAGCCGACCUGAGAGGGUAAUCGGCCACAUUGGGACGGAGACACGGCCCAAACUCCUACGGGAGGCAGCAGUAGGGAAUCUUCCACAAUGGACGAAAGUCUGAUGGAGCAACGCCGCGUGAGUGAAGAAGGGUUUCGGCUCGUAAAACUCUGUUGUUAAAGAAGAACAUAUCUGAGAGUAACUGUUCAGGUAUUGACGGUAUUUAACCAGAAAGCCACGGCUAACUACGUGCCAGCCGCCGCAGUAA